GCCAAAUUUAUUACGGCGUGGUUUCAGUGAGAACCACUUCGCGAUGCUGUGAAUUUCCGGUAUAGAGAGGCGCAUGCGCAAUCGGUCAACUAUUAAUCUCGACAGUCGAUAAUGGUAAUUCAAAUGGAUAGAGAUUACAGGUUUAGGGGAUAGAGCUGCGGAAAUUUGAUGCUAAUGAAGGAAAUUGCGUAGAUGCCCUUGCCUAAGGUUCUUCUAUAUUCCAUUCCUCUCAUGAUCAACGCUUGAAGCCAACGGGAGUCAAUUGCUUCACUCUUCUAUGAAUAUACUCUCCAUUCUCUUUUACACUAUUAAUGUGGCGACAGUAAAAACUUCGGACGACAGCCAGCUGCCACCAAAGAAAUUGGCUGACACGUUAUUCGCUCGCUUGCCUCCGAACAAUCUACACCCAUAUAAAUGAAAGCAGUUAAUUCUUUCUCAGAAAAGCUUUUCAACAAUAUUUUAAUCACCAAUGUUUGCAAAACUGAACCGCAGGAAUGAAAAAAAAAACAUCUGAAACGAAAAGAAAAAUGUUCCUUGUUAUAA
Leptopilina boulardi is the source of this 543-nucleotide long non-coding RNA. RefSeq lists it as uncharacterized. The transcript has 3 exons. The record is from RefSeq and is a predicted model, not a curated record. NCBI's taxonomy places the organism in Eukaryota, Metazoa, Arthropoda, Insecta, Hymenoptera, Figitidae.